UAUCAAGAACAUGACGAUGAAACUAACGCAGUGAGCAAGUAGAGAAAGAGAAGUGAAGGUGGUGUAGAAAGACAGAGAGAAAUGGCAGCUACUUCUAUCUGUGACAAGCUUUUCACCUCCCGUUCCGAUUCUGAUUUCUCCUCUCUUCCCAGAUUCCAGAACCUCCGACGGCUCAAACCGUCGAGGUACCCUCCUUGUCGCCACGGUGCCACCAAGUCCCACGGGAUCCGGGCGAUGAUUUGGCCUGCUCCCGCCGCUCCUCCGCCGACGCCUGCAGACUCCGAGACGGGUACUAAUGGAGCUGUGGAGGUUAACGGUUCAGUUGAUGACAGUGGCUAUUCGUUUUUGAAACGCGAUGGGUCCAAAACCAUUCAUGCUGCUGAGAGAUUAGGCCGGGGUAUUAAAACUGAUGCAAUCACCACUCCUGUGGUGAACACUUCUGCUUACUUCUUCAAGAAAACCUCUGAUCUCAUUGACUACAAGGAGAAGCGCCAAUUUAGUUUUGAAUAUGGACGAUAUGGAAACCCGACGACAGUGGUUUUGGAGGAGAAGAUGAGUGCACUGGAAGGGGCUGAAUCAACUCUGUUUCUGGCAUCUGGGAUGUGUACUAGCACGGUGAUGUUCAUGGCAUUGGUCCCUGCUGGUGGACAUAUUGUGACCACUACAGAUUGCUAUAGGAGGACCAGAAUUUUCAUUGGGAACAUGCUUCCUAAGAUGGGAAUCACGGCCACAAUAAUUGAUCCUUCCGAUUAUGAUGCCUUGGAAGAAGCAUUGGAAAAGAACAAUGUCUCAUUGUACUUUGCUGAGACGCCAACCAAUCCAUUCCAAAGAUGUGUGGACAUUGAGCGCGUUUCGGAACUUUGUCACAGAAAAGGUGCAUUGGUCUGCAUUGAUGGUACCUUUGCCACACCCAUCAACAUGAAGGCCCUUUCUCUUGGAGCUGAUCUUGUGGUGAACUCUGCAACAAAGUACAUUGCUGGACAUCAUGAUGUCAUUGCUGGUUGCAUUAGUGGUUCGGAGAAGUUGAUUUCACAAGUUCGCAGUUUGCAUUUCAUUUUGGGUGGAACUCUUAGCCCGAGUUCUGCAUACCUAGUCCUUAGAGGCAUGAAAACUCUGCAUCUCCGUGUACGACAACAAAACUCAACAGCAAUGAAGAUGGCUGAAAUUUUAGAGGCACAUCCUAAGGUGAAGCAAGUCUAUUAUCCAGGCUUGCCAAGUCAUCCUGAACAUGAACUCGCCAAGAGACAGAUGACUGGUUUUGGUGGUGUUGUCUGUUUUGAUAUUAAUGGGGAUUUUGAAACUACCAUCAAAUUUGUCGAUUCGCUGAAAAUUCCAUACAUUGCUCCAUCUUUUGGUGGCUGUGAGAGUGUUGUGAAUCAGCCUGCUAUUAUGUCUUACUGGGAUCUUCCCCGGCCAGAAAGGGAAAAGUUUAGAAUUUAUGACAAUUGUGUUCGCUUCUGCUUUGGAGUCGAAGACUAUGAGGAUUUGAGGGAUGAUGUCCUACAGGCUCUGGAUGCAAUAUAGGCCAUACCUAAGCUUGGUGAAUCAAUUGAAUUUUGAUAAUUGAAUGUUCUGUUGGGGUUUAUGUUGGAGGAACAGAGAUCCUCUGGCAUCGACGCUGAAACCUUGUGGCAUGUAAUCAGCAUGGAGAUCUUGAAGCUCACAUCUUGUCUAUAAAUAAGAGAAGUUACAUCACAUGUUUAGAUUUGUAGGGCUUUGAGCUUGUCUAACCCCAUUUGGAAGAGAUUAUUCAAGCUUAUCUUAUAGCAUAAACGCUUAUAGAAGUAUUUGAGAUUUCUUAUGUAACUAGUUUAUAGCCUUCCUGUAAGCUGUUUUUGGCUAUUUGCAUAAGCUGUUUAGAUUGGUGUAUAA
This is an RNA transcript of Lotus japonicus, 1872 nucleotides long. It is a transcript of the gene named cystathionine gamma-synthase 1, chloroplastic-like, with no coding region annotated. NCBI's taxonomy places the organism in Eukaryota, Viridiplantae, Streptophyta, Magnoliopsida, Fabales, Fabaceae. The record is from RefSeq and is a predicted model, not a curated record. The transcript has 12 exons.